UACGUAGGGGGCAAGCGUUGUCCGGAAUUAUUGGGCGUAAAGCGCGCGCAGGCGGCCUUGUAAGUCUGGUGUUUAAGCUCGGGGCUCAACCCCGAUACGCAUCGGAAACUGCAAAGCUUGAGUGCAGAAGAGGAAAGUGGAAUUCCACGUGUAGCGGUGAAAUGCGUAGAGAUGUGGAGGAACACCAGUGGCGAAGGCGACUUUCUGGGCUGUAACUGACGCUGAGGCGCGAAAGCGUGGGGAGCAAACAGG
Molecule: ribosomal RNA, 252 nt
Filed under: uncultured bacterium
Lineage: Bacteria
Description: partial 16S ribosomal RNA
Rfam family: Bacterial small subunit ribosomal RNA
Source: RNAcentral